AGGUCCCUAUGGGAUAAAGAAGAGUGAGUGUAAAGAAAAUUCAGGGCAGCAAGAGACGGGGUAAGGACUGAAGUGUCUUCCACACAGUGAUGGAAAGAGCAGCAUCAACCCUAAAAGCAAAAGAACAAACAGCUCCAGCAUCUGCUGCUAUUGCAGAAAUAGGUCCUGUUUACAUCAGGGAAAGAUCUGCAGAUCACAGCAGGAGUCAACCACAGCUUUCCCAAAAGCUCCCACCUGACUCGAGUCCAAGUGGAUUUUCCCUUUCUCUAGGGAAGUCUGUAUGGGGCUUGUUGGCUGGCACAAGGAGUUUGAAUGUCACAACAUGGCUUUACAUUUUGGGAAACUCAUAGCUGAGUGGGAUAGCCUGGCUGCCACAGGGGUCUGUCCAAAUGAAAGCUGGAUUCUGUAUGCUGCAAGGCUGUCAUAUCAGGAUGCUGCAAAAGAGGUUGUUGCAUCUUCUUCCUGUAAAGUUGGUGGAGUUUCUCUCUAUGCAGGGGGUACAACCUUUCUGGCCAGGAAGCUGUUUUCCUUGCUCUGUGGUUUUCUUGCUGCUGCUGCUGCUUUUAAAGGGGUCAACACUCUUAGUUCCAGGAAACUGAAACUAAAUGUGAGCAGGGACUGGAGGAAGGAAGCAGAGAGAAUCCCCUACAAGAUUCCAAUACGUCUUAUUUCUGGGAAAACUAAAUAAAGCAGGAUUCAACUGCCAGUGGCUAAAUAGCAGCAAUUUAUGAGCUGUUCCUCAAAAGCCCCAGACAAGCACCGAGUCCUGUGGGAAGCUGGAGAUUGACACAGGAUACCUCCAGAAGAGACUGCUCUUGAAACUUCCUUUAAGCCUUUUUUUCAAGUGGAGCAUCGAGACCUGGCAAUUGCAUACAGUCAGCCCUUAAAAGAGCAAAGAGCUCUCUCUAAGAAAACCAAAUGAGUGGCCAAAGUCUGUCCAUUUGUCUGCCUUUUUGGCCUUGGAUUACAGUGCUUUUCAAAGCUGUGCUUUCAUAACUUGGAUUAAAAAAGUAGAUGUUUCAUAUAGCUCUACAAGUAGUAAUCAUCCUGUUCAUGCAAAAUAUCUGCUGCCUGAGGGAUGGGCCCAAACUGGAGGUGUUUCUCUUUUACCUACAAAGCACCUGGCUUUAGCAUCUGUAGUCAGUUUUUGUGAACCUGUGAGUCCACUGCCUGCUCUAAUGGAGUUAGUGUCUUAUUUUCAGUGGUUGUAGAGAGUUUCACUGAAAUAGCACUGUUUGUAGUCCAUUGUGUGACUUAGGAGAUACAAUAGCCAGACAAUUCUGCAAUUGUAAUAUAACUGUACGUGGCGUUCCCAGAAAAUGCUCUGAAGUCUUCUCCCAUUGCACCAUGGUGAUAGAAACCUCUGCUGCUUUUCAAGCUCCAUGAAUCCAUGCUGUGCCAUGCUGAAAGUGAUAGAAAAUCCAAUUAGCUCUGAAAAGUAAAGGGCAGAGAGGGAUGCUCUGGCCUGGAAUUCCCUCCCUUUGGAAGCAGCAAAGGUCAACCGUGCAGCCAAAUUUCCAUGACCACGUGUGGAUCCAGCUUGUUUGUGUUGCCAGCUCUCUGCACAGAGGAAUGGGAGGUGGGGUAGGAAGAAUUGAUUCUGGAGGCGGAAAGCCUGAGGGGAAGAGUAAAGUUAAAUGUGACAGCUGGGAUUCCAGAAGGCAGUUUGAUGGAUGCUGGGCAUCCAGCUUCUGUAGAACUCUUUAUCAGUAACACCCUCUCUAUCUCCCUGAGUGACUUUUAGCCUGUCUGGCACUUUUCAGCAUCAGUGUGUGAGGGAAAAGAGAUGGGAGGCAGCUCUCUCUGAUUUGGCAACUCUGGGACUUCAGUACAUGUGACUUUUGUGCUGCUGGCUGAGGGUCUGGAUCUCUGAGGAGCUUCCUGACUACCUGUGGUUCCCAUAGGCUUGUAGGACUGGGCUUAGAGAAACCCUGAGCUGCCAGAUGGAUUCUGCCCCUGGUGCAGCUCUUCUGAGUAGUCCUGGGUGUGGAAGUGAGCCUGCAGUCCUUGGGAGGCAAAAUGCAUUCCACAAUCCCAAGGGAUCUGCUCUAUCUCUCAGUGCAGGCCAGCUGUGGGAAGCCUCCAAGUUCCUUUAUCCUGAUCUGUGUGUCAGGGCCUUGUGGCUCACCAUGAGUGACCAGAGCUGCCAUGGACCCUUCUUGCAAGGGCAGUUGUCAUCAGAGUCAGCAUAGGUUCAGGUUAUCUUUGGAAAAGUGUGAAUAUCCUGGGGAAAUCCAUGGGGCAGAAACCUUGGGCCAUACUGUGUUCCCACCAUUAGCAGGCAUGAUAUUGACAGGCAGGCUUUCCUUUUGGUGUGAAACCUUGCUCUGAUGCAUCAUUCUGAGGAAAACAGCUGGAAUUUGCAGGCCAGGUCAUGUGGUGAGAUAAGUAAUUCCAGCUCCCUUACUGGACCUGAUUUAUACAGGCCAGGUCCAAUAUUUCUGAGAAAUAGUUGAUGGUGGGGGCUUUUUUGUUUGUUUCACUGAAAACUUGAACCCUUUCAAAUAAAAAACAAAUGAGGUAUAGGAAAUUUUUAGCU
Long non-coding RNA from Zonotrichia albicollis (white-throated sparrow), 2539 nucleotides. The record is from Ensembl. Lineage: Eukaryota; Metazoa; Chordata; Aves; Passeriformes; Passerellidae.